AUUGAACGCUAGCGGGAUGCUUUACACAUGCAAGUCGAACGGCAGCGCGGACUUCGGUCUGGCGGCGAGUGGCGAACGGGUGAGUAAUGUAUCGGAACGUGCCCAGUAGCGGGGGAUAACUACGCGAAAGCGUAGCUAAUACCGCAUACGCCCUACGGGGGAAAGCAGGGGACCGUAAGACCUUGCACUAUUGGAGCGGCCGAUAUCGGAUUAGCUAGUUGGUGAGGUAACGGCUCACCAAGGCGACGAUCCGUAGCUGGUUUGAGAGGACGACCAGCCACACUGGGACUGAGACACGGCCCAGACUCCUACGGGAGGCAGCAGUGGGGAAUUUUGGACAAUGGGGGCAACCCUGAUCCAGCCAUCCCGCGUGUGCGAUGAAGGCCUUCGGGUUGUAAAGCACUUUUGGCAGGAAAGAAACGUCGCGGGCUAAUACCCCGUGGAACUGACGGUACCUGCAGAAUAAGCACCGGCUAACUACGUG
Molecule: ribosomal RNA, 484 nt
Filed under: uncultured bacterium
Lineage: Bacteria
Description: partial 16S ribosomal RNA
Rfam family: Bacterial small subunit ribosomal RNA
Source: RNAcentral